GACGAACGCUGGCGGCGUGCUUAAUACAUGCAAGUCGAACGGAAAGGCCCUGCUUUUGUGGGGUGCUCGAGUGGCGAACGGGUGAGUAACACGUGAGUAACCUGCCCUUGACUUUGGGAUAACUUCAGGAAACUGGGGCUAAUACCGGAUAGGAGCUCCUGCUGCAUGGUGGGGGUUGGAAAGUUUCGGCGGUUGGGGAUGGACUCGCGGCUUAUCAGCUUGUUGGUGGGGUAGUGGCUUACCAAGGCUUUGACGGGUAGCCGGCCUGAGAGGGUGACCGGCCACAUUGGGACUGAGAUACGGCCCAGACUCCUUCGGGAGGCAGCAGUGGGGAAUAUUGCAAAAUGGGCGGAAGCCUGAUGCAGCAACGCCGCGUGCGGGAUGACGGCCUUCGGGUUGUAAACCGCUUUCGCCUGUGACGAAGCGUGAGUGACGGUAAUGGGUAAAGAAGCACCGGCUAACUACGUG
Molecule: ribosomal RNA, 468 nt
Filed under: uncultured bacterium
Lineage: Bacteria
Description: partial 16S ribosomal RNA
Rfam family: Bacterial small subunit ribosomal RNA
Source: RNAcentral